UUGAAGAGUUUGAUCAUGGCUCAGAUUGAACGCUGGCGGCAGGCCUAACACAUGCAAGUCGAACGGUAACAGGAAGCAGCUUGCUGCUUCGCUGACGAGUGGCGGACGGGUGAGUAAUGUCUGGGAAACUGCCUGAUGGAGGGGGAUAACUACUGGAAACGGUGGCUAAUACCGCAUAACGUCGCAAGACCAAAGAGGGGGACCUUCGGGCCUCUUGCCAUCAGAUGUGCCCAGAUGGGAUUAGCUAGUUGGUGAGGUAACGGCUCACCAAGGCGACGAUCCCUAGCUGGUCUGAGAGGAUGACCAGCCACACUGGAACUGAGACACGGUCCAGACUCCUACGGGAGGCAGCAGUGGGGAAUAUUGCACAAUGGGCGCAAGCCUGAUGCAGCCAUGCCGCGUGUAUGAAGAAGGCCUUCGGGUUGUAAAGUACUUUCAGCGGGGAGGAAGGUGUUGUGGUUAAUAACCACAGCAAUUGACGUUACCCGCAGAAGAAGCACCGGCUAACUCCGUGCCAGCAGCCGCGGUAAUACGGAGGGUGCAAGCGUUAAUCGGAAUUACUGGGCGUAAAGCGCACGCAGGCGGUCUGUCAAGUCGGAUGUGAAAUCCCCGGGCUCAACCUGGGAACUGCAUUCGAAACUGGCAGGCUUGAGUCUUGUAGAGGGGGGUAGAAUUCCAGGUGUAGCGGUGAAAUGCGUAGAGAUCUGGAGGAAUACCGGUGGCGAAGGCGGCCCCCUGGACAAAGACUGACGCUCAGGUGCGAAAGCGUGGGGAGCAAACAGGAUUAGAUACCCUGGUAGUCCACGCCGUAAACGAUGUCUACUUGGAGGUUGUGCCCUUGAGGCGUGGCUUCCGGAGCUAACGCGUUAAGUAGACCGCCUGGGGAGUACGGCCGCAAGGUUAAAACUCAAAUGAAUUGACGGGGGCCCGCACAAGCGGUGGAGCAUGUGGUUUAAUUCGAUGCAACGCGAAGAACCUUACCUGGUCUUGACAUCCACAGAAGAAUCCAGAGAUGGAUUUGUGCCUUCGGGAACUGUGAGACAGGUGCUGCAUGGCUGUCGUCAGCUCGUGUUGUGAAAUGUUGGGUUAAGUCCCGCAACGAGCGCAACCCUUAUCCUUUGUUGCCAGCGGUUAGGCCGGGAACUCAAAGGAGACUGCCAGUGAUAAACUGGAGGAAGGUGGGGAUGACGUCAAGUCAUCAUGGCCCUUACGACCAGGGCUACACACGUGCUACAAUGGCGCAUACAAAGAGAAGCGACCUCGCGAGAGCAAGCGGACCUCAUAAAGUGCGUCGUAGUCCGGAUUGGAGUCUGCAACUCGACUCCAUGAAGUCGGAAUCGCUAGUAAUCGUGGAUCAGAAUGCCACGGUGAAUACGUUCCCGGGCCUUGUACACACCGCCCGUCACACCAUGGGAGUGGGUUGCAAAAGAAGUAGGUAGCUUAACCUUCGGGAGGGCGCUUACCACUUUGUGAUUCAUGACUGGGGUGAAGUCGUAACAAGGUAACCGUAGGGGAACCUGCGGUUGGAUCACCUCCUU
This 1538-nucleotide ribosomal RNA is filed under the name Salmonella enterica. RNAcentral's name for it is "Bacterial small subunit ribosomal RNA". It matches the Rfam family "Bacterial small subunit ribosomal RNA". The record is from RNAcentral. Lineage: Bacteria; Pseudomonadati; Pseudomonadota; Gammaproteobacteria; Enterobacterales; Enterobacteriaceae.